This 86-nucleotide transfer RNA is filed under the name Calditrichota bacterium. RNAcentral describes it as "Calditrichaeota bacterium (hydrothermal vent metagenome) tRNA-Leu". It matches the Rfam family "tRNA". Rfam says of the family: Transfer RNA (tRNA) molecules are approximately 80 nucleotides in length. Lineage: Bacteria; Pseudomonadati; Calditrichota. The record is from RNAcentral.
GCCCGGGUGGCGGAAUUGGCAGACGCAAGGGACUUAAAAUCCCUCGGUCCCUUAGGACCGUGCCGGUUCGAGUCCGGCCCCGGGCA